Molecule: ribosomal RNA, 470 nt
Filed under: uncultured bacterium
Lineage: Bacteria
Description: bacterial SSU rRNA
Rfam family: Bacterial small subunit ribosomal RNA
Source: RNAcentral
CGCGCCUUCGGGUGAGCGGCGGACGGGUUAGUAACGCGUGGGAACGUGCCCUUCUCUACGGAAUAGCCUCUGGAAACGGAGAGUAAUACCGUAUACGCCCUUUGGGGGAAAGAUUUAUCGGAGAAGGAUCGGCCCGCGUUAGAUUAGGUAGUUGGUGGGGUAAUGGCCUACCAAGCCUACGAUCUAUAGCUGGUUUUAGAGGAUGAUCAGCAACACUGGGACUGAGACACGGCCCAGACUCCUACGGGAGGCAGCAGUGGGGAAUCUUAGACAAUGGGGGCAACCCUGAUCUAGCCAUGCCGCGUGAGUGAUGAAGGCCUUAGGGUCGUAAAGCUCUUUCGCCUGUGAUGAUAAUGACAGUAGCAGGUAAAGAAACCCCGGCUAACUCCGUGCCAGCAGCCGCGGUAAUACGGAGGGGGCUAGCGUUGUUCGGAAUUACUGGGCGUAAAGCGCGCGUAGGCGGAUUAGAA